RNAcentral lists this ribosomal RNA (301 nucleotides) under uncultured bacterium. Its description in RNAcentral is "partial 16S ribosomal RNA". It matches the Rfam family "Bacterial small subunit ribosomal RNA", at positions 509 to 807 of the family's 1533-position model. The record is from RNAcentral.
CAGUCGCCGCGGGAAUACGAAGGGGGCUAGCGUUGCUCGGAAUCACUGGGCGUAGAGGGUGCGUAGGCGGGUCUUUAAGUCAGGGGUGAAAUCCUGGAGCUCAACUCCAGAACUGCCUUUGAUACUGAAGAUCUUGAGUUCGGGAGAGGUGAGUGGAACUGCGAGUGUAGAGGUGAAAUUCGUAGAUAUUCCCAAGAACACCAGUGGCGAAGGCGGCUCACUGGCCCGAUACUGACGCUGAGGCACGAAAGCGUGGGGAGCAAACAGGAUUAGAGACCCCAGUAGUCCCUGUCUCUUAUAC